AUUGAACGCUGGCGGCAGGCCUACAAAUGCAAGUCGGACGAGUGGCGGACGGGUGCGUAAUGUCUGGGAAACUGCCCGACGGAGGGGGAUAAAUACCGGAAACGGUAGCUAAUACCGCAUACCAUCAGAUGUGCCCAGGUGGGGCUAGCUAGUUGGUGGGGUAACGGCUCACCCAGGCGACGAGCCCUAGCUGGUCUGAGAGGAUGACCAGCCACACUGAAACUGAGACACGGUCCAGACUCCUACGGGAGGCAGCAGUGGGGAAUAUUGCACAAUGGGCGCAAGCCUGAUGCAGCCAUGCCGCGUGUAUGAAGAAGGCCUUCGGUUUGUAAAGUACUUUCAGCGGGGAGGCGUUACCCGCAGAAGAAGCACCGGCUAACUCCGUGCCAGCCGCCGCGGUAAUUC
RNAcentral lists this ribosomal RNA (405 nucleotides) under uncultured bacterium. Its description in RNAcentral is "partial 16S ribosomal RNA". It matches the Rfam family "Bacterial small subunit ribosomal RNA", at positions 30 to 526 of the family's 1533-position model. The record is from RNAcentral.